Molecule: ribosomal RNA, 608 nt
Filed under: uncultured bacterium
Lineage: Bacteria
Description: bacterial SSU rRNA
Rfam family: Bacterial small subunit ribosomal RNA (bases 1-536)
Source: RNAcentral
CCUACGGGAGGCAGCAGUGAGGAAUAUUGGACAAUGGUCGAAAGACUGAUCCAGCCAUGCCGCGUGCAGGAAGACGGCCCUACGGGUUGUAAACUGCUUUUGUUUGGGAAGAAACCUUUCUACGUGUAGAAAGCUGACGGUACCAUACGAAUAAGCACCGGCUAACUCCGUGCCAGCAGCCGCGGUAAUACGGAGGGUGCAAGCGUUAUCCGGAUUUAUUGGGUUUAAAGGGUCCGUAGGCGGACUUAUAAGUCAGUGGUGAAAUCCUGCAGCUCAACUGUAGAACUGCCAUUGAUACUGUAAGUCUUGAAUUCGGUUGAAGUGGGCGGAAUAUGGCAUGUAGCGGUGAAAUGCUUAGAUAUGCCAUAGAACACCGAUUGCGUAGGCAGCUCACUAAGCCUGGAUUGACGCUGAGGGACAAAAGCGUGGGUAGCGAACAGGAUUAGAUACCCUGGUAGUCCACGCCGUAAACCGAUGAUUACUCGACAUUAGCGAUACACGGUUAGUGCCAUAAGCGAAAGCAUUAAGUAAUCACCUGGGAGACGUUCGCAGAAGAGAACGACANAGAGUAGACGCGUAGAGAGAGNGAGAGACGACGAGGGAGGAGG